GGCGAGGUAGCUCAGUUGGCUAGAGCAUGCGGUUCAUACCCGCAGUGUCGGGGGUUCGAAUCCCUUCCUCGCUACCA
RNAcentral lists this transfer RNA (77 nucleotides) under Geotoga petraea. Its description in RNAcentral is "tRNA_Met_CAT". It matches the Rfam family "tRNA". From Rfam's summary of the family: Transfer RNA (tRNA) molecules are approximately 80 nucleotides in length. The record is from RNAcentral. Lineage: Bacteria; Thermotogati; Thermotogota; Thermotogae; Petrotogales; Petrotogaceae.